UACAGAGGUCCCGAGCGUUGUUCGGAUUCACUGGGCGUAAAGGGCGCGUAGGCGGCCCGCUAAGUCGAACGUGAAAUCCCCGAGCUCAACUCGGGAACUGCGUCCGAUACUGGCGGGCUUGAAUCCGGGAGAGGGAUGCGGAAUUCCAGGUGUAGCGGUGAAAUGCGUAGAUAUCUGGAGGAACACCGGUGGCGAAGGCGGCAUCCUGGACCGGCAUUGACGCUGAGGCGCGAAAGCUAGGGGAGCAAACGGG
This 253-nucleotide ribosomal RNA is filed under the name uncultured bacterium. Its description in RNAcentral is "partial 16S ribosomal RNA". It matches the Rfam family "Bacterial small subunit ribosomal RNA", at positions 524 to 776 of the family's 1533-position model. The record is from RNAcentral.